CAGGAGCAGAUAGCGUCAAAGUAGUGGAAUGGGGUAGUGGGUUUUUAAUGAUUGUAGAGUUUUUGCAUUGCCCGUUUUCUCAUUUUGUAUCAUAAAGUGUAAUGGGUUUAUAUUAUAGUCCAGUUGGGGGCGGUAAUGCUACAUAUUUGAUUCCAACCGCCGUUAAACUCCAAAGAAGAGAAUGAAGUUGUUCCGGGGAAGCGCGCUCCAUUCUUCAGCUAAAGAAAGCGCUAGAACUGUGCUGUGAAGAAGAAGAAAAAAUAAAAUAAAAAUAAAAAUAAAUAAAUAAACUGUGCUGUGAAGACGGUAAGCGUUGUAUUUAUUACUACAGGCCAACUCAGAUUAAGUCUGAGGCCGGUAACAUCAACAGUGAGGACAAACCCAGCCUGCCUCUCUCCUUCCACACUGAGUCCAAACCUACAGUCACUGGGUCCUGAUUGUGACAGUGGAGCCCAGUUUGCACUGCAGGAUCCAGAGAUGUCAUCAGUGAAGCUGGAAGACUGCAGUCAAACACUGGAGCUGAAUGUCAUCAUUAAAGAUGAAGAGGAGGAGAAAUCGGUUUCUCUUAGAGACCAUGUUGAGACAUUCUCUACAUCCAGAGAGCAACAGCAGGAAGAUCAUGGAGCUAAGAGGUCUCACCACUGCCCACAUUGUGAGGAGGAUUUUUCAAUUCUAUCAAAGCUAAAAUUACAUAUAAAAAUACACACAGGAGAGAAUCUGUAUUCCUGUACUGACUGUGGGAAGAAUUUCACAACGUCAAAGGCUCUGACAGUUCAUCAGAGAGUGCACAGAGGAAAGAAGCCCUACUCCUGCUCUGACUGUGGGGCGAGUUUCUCUCAACUGGGCACCUUAAAAAGACAUGAACGUAUACACACAGAAGAGAAGCCUUACUCCUGCUCUGACUGUGGAAAGAGUUUCUCUCAACUGGGCGACUUAAAAACACAUGAACGUAUACAUACAGGAGAGAAGCCUUACUCCUGCUUUGACUGUGAAAAAUGCUUCAAAACAUCAACUGAGCAAAAAGUUCAUCAGAGAACACACACAGGAGAGAAGCCUUACUCCUGCUCUGACUGUGGAAAGAGGUUCUCUCAACUGGGGAACUUAAAAACACAUGAACGUAUACACACAGGAGAGAAGCCUUACUCCUGCUCUUAAUAUGGCAAGAGUUUCUACCGAUUGGGCAAUGUAAAGACACACUAACGGAUAGACACUUGAGAGAAGCCUUAUCAUUGUACUGAUUGUGAGAAGAGAUUCUACAGAUUGGGCCAUUUAAAAAGACACCAAUGUAUACAUAAAGGAGAGAAGCCUCAUCAGUUCUCUCAGACCAGCUAAGAUUAGUCACUCCACUUAAUUCUCAUGUCAUUAAAUAAUUGGCAACAUUGAAUUGGAUCAAAUGAAGCAUAGAACACUAUUGUAAAAAAAAAACAUUAAAGACACCUGCUCUUUCCAUGACAGACUGACCAGGUGAACCCAGGUGGGCUAAGGAAUGAAAACACUGGACACUGGAACAUUUGAAAACUAUUGCCUGGUCUGAUGAAUCCUGGUUCCUGCUGUUUCACGCUGAUGGGAGGACUAGGGUAUGGAGGAAACCACGAGUACAUGCAUCCAGUGGUGGAAAAAGUAACUAACUGUCAUACUUGAGUGAAAGUAAUGAUACCUUAAUAGAAAAUGACUCAGUAAAAUACCCAGUAAAAUACUACUUCAGCAAAAGUCUAAAAGCUUUUGGUUGUAAAUAUACUUAUGUAUCAAAAGUAAAAGUAAUUGCUAAAAUAUACUUAAUCAAAAGUAAAAGUAGGAAUCAUUUCUAAUUCCUUAAAUUAAGCAAACCAGACUGCAAAACUUUUUAUAUUUUUUAUAUUACAGAUAGCCAGGGGCACACUCCAACACUCAGACAUCAUUUACAAAUUAAACAUUUGUGUUUAGUGAGUCCACCAGAUUAGAGGCAGUAAGGAUGACCAGGGAUGUUAUCUUCAUAAGUGCGUGAAUUGGAUCAUUUUCUGUCCUGCUAAUCCUAAAAAAAUGUGACAAGUACUUAUGGGUGUCAGGGAAAAUGUAUGGAGUAAAAAGUACAUUUUCUUUAGAAAUGUUGUGAAAUAAAAGUAAAAGUUGUCAAAAAUAUAAAUAGUAAAGUACAGAUACCCCCCAAAAACUACUGAAGUAGUUUAAAUCAUUUUUACUUCAGUACUUUACACCACUGUAUGUAUCCAUGUCGUGUGUCAGCAUUGCAAGCUGGUGGUGUGAUGGCGUGGGGUGUGUUUUCAGGGCCCACAUUGGGCCCCUUGAUAAAAGAUGAACAAUGUUUGAAUGCCACAGGAUGUCUAAACAUCAUUGCCAAUCAGGUGCAUCCCUUCACGGCAGCAGUGUAUCCAUCUACAAAUAGAUUAUUUUCAGCAGGAUUAUGCCCCAUGGCACAAGGCUUGUCCAGGAAUGGUUCCAAGAACAUGACAGUGAAUUCAGCUUACUGCAGUGGCCUGCCGAGUCACCAGAUCUCAAUCCAAUUGUGCAUCUGUGGGAGGAGAUGGAACAAGCUAUUCAGAGUAGAUCCACUCCCAGCCAAUUUGACACAAUUGUAGGAAGCAUUGGAGUCAACAUGGACCAGCAUCUCUGUGGAAUGUUCUCAACACCUUGGACAGUCUAUGCCUGACGAAUUGAGGCUGUUCUGAGGACAAAUGGGGUGCAACUCAAUAUUAGGAAGUUGUUUCUAAUGUUUUAUACACUCAGUGUAUAUCAGAUAAAGAUGGUGUAAUGAUCAGUUUUUAGUGUUAGUUUGGGUGGAUUAUUUUAUAUUACUAAACUAUUUUGUUUAAUGAUAAACAGGCUAUGAAUCGACUACUUGUGUUUAUUAAAUUGUAUUUUAAUACUGGAUUCAUUAUUUUAGUCAUUGAUGAAUGUAUUUGAAUAACUGUAUUGAAGGUAAUUGAUCUGGCGGCAGGUAGCCUAGUGGUUAAGAGUGUUGGGCCAGUAACUGAAAGGUUGCUGGUUUGAAUCCCAAGCCGACUAGUUGAAAAAUCUGCCACUGUGCCCUUGAGCAAGCCAAUUAACUCUUAUUUGUCCUGUAAAUUGCUCUGGAUAAGAGCAUCUGCUAAAUGACAAGAAUGUAAUGAAAAAUGUUUGUACAUGAAUUUAUGCUGAGCAACCUCUUCUUCUCGUGUAUAAUUAAAUAAACUGAAGUGAAAUACUGUAUAUACAA
Molecule: long non-coding RNA, 3190 nt
Organism: Salmo salar (Atlantic salmon)
Lineage: Eukaryota; Metazoa; Chordata; Actinopteri; Salmoniformes; Salmonidae
Source: RefSeq, a predicted model, not a curated record